CGGGACGUAGCGCAGCCUGGUAGCGCGCACGCUUGGGGUGCGUGAGGUCGGCGGUUCGAAUCCGCCCGUCCCGACCA
Molecule: transfer RNA, 77 nt
Filed under: Acidobacteriota bacterium
Lineage: Bacteria; Pseudomonadati; Acidobacteriota
Also listed under: 2 other names
Description: Acidobacteria bacterium tRNA-Pro
Rfam family: tRNA
About the family: Transfer RNA (tRNA) molecules are approximately 80 nucleotides in length. Their secondary structure includes four short double-helical elements and three loops (D, anti-codon, and T loops).
Source: RNAcentral